CCCAAAUUUUUUGAACUCCCUUAUGAUUCAUCACCCCCAAACUCAAUCCCAGUCUUCCCUUUGUGGUAUGGUACCUUGAAGUACAAUUUCAGAGAGAUCCAUACACUUGAACACAAGUUAUUGUCUGGAAACUAGAAAAAUGCUUGUUUUUUGGCCCCAAAUUCUUAAACUUUUAGGGCAAUUACCCCCAAACUCAAACCCAGCUUUCCCUUUGUGAUAUGGAACCUUGAAGUACAAUUUCAUAAAGAUCAAUACACUUACACACAAGUUAUUGUCCUGAAACUAGAAAAAUGCUUGUUUUUUUGCCCCUUUAUGGCCCCUAAUUCCUAAAAUUUUGAGGCAAUUACCCCCAAAAUCAAUCCCAGCCUUCCCUUUGUGGUAUGGUACCUUGCAGUACAAUUUCAGAGAGAUCCAUACAUUUGAACACAAGUUAUUGUCUGGAAACUAGAAAAAUGCUUAUUUUUGGCCCCUUUUUGGCCCCUUAUUCCUAAACUUUUUGGGCAAUUACCCCCAAACUCAAUUCCAGCUUUCCCUUUGUGAUAUGGAACCUUGCAGUACAAUUUCAUAAAGAUCCAUACACUUACACACAAGUUAUUGUCAUGAAACUAGAAAAAUGCUUGUUUUUCGCCCCUUUUUGGCCCCUAAUUCCUAAAAUAUGGAGGCAAUUACCCCCAAAA
Mytilus californianus (California mussel) is the source of this 677-nucleotide long non-coding RNA. RefSeq lists it as uncharacterized. NCBI's taxonomy places the organism in Eukaryota, Metazoa, Mollusca, Bivalvia, Mytilida, Mytilidae. The record is from RefSeq and is a predicted model, not a curated record. The transcript has 2 exons.